UACGGGGGGGCAAGCGUUGUUCGGAAUUACUGGGCGUAAAGGGCUCGUAGGCGGCCAACUAAGUCAGACGUGAAAUCCCUCGGCUUAACCGGGGAACUGCGUCUGAUACUGGAUGGCUUGGAUCCGGGAGAGGGAUGCGGAAUUCCAGGUGUAGCGGUGAAAUGCGUAGAUAUCUGGAGGAACACCGGUGGCGAAGGCGGCAUCCUGGGCCGGUAUUGACGCUGAGGAGCGAAAGCCCGGGGAGCAAACGGG
Molecule: ribosomal RNA, 252 nt
Filed under: uncultured bacterium
Lineage: Bacteria
Description: partial 16S ribosomal RNA
Rfam family: Bacterial small subunit ribosomal RNA
Source: RNAcentral